Molecule: ribosomal RNA, 333 nt
Filed under: uncultured soil bacterium
Lineage: Bacteria
Description: bacterial SSU rRNA
Rfam family: Bacterial small subunit ribosomal RNA
Source: RNAcentral
AGAACGAACGCUGGCGGCAUGCCUAAUACAUGCAAGUCGAACGAACACUUCGGUGUUAGUGGCGCACGGGUGCGUAACGCGUGGGAAUCUGCCCUUGGGUUCGGAAUAACAGUUGGAAACGACUGCUAAUACCGGAUGAUGACGAAAGUCCAAAGAUUUAUCGCCCAGGGAUGAGCCCGCGUAGGAUUAGCUAGUUGGUGAGGUAAAGGCUCACCAAGGCGACGAUCCUUAGCUGGUCUGAGAGGAUGAUCAGCCACACUGGGACUGAGACACGGCCCAGACUCCUACGGGAGGCAGCAGUAGGGAAUAUUGGACAAUGGGCGACAAGCUGAU